GAUGAACGCUGGCGGCGUGCCUAAUACAUGCAAGUCGAGCGAACAGACGAGGAGCUUGCUCCUCUGACGUUAGCGGCGGACGGGUGAGUAACACGUGGAUAACCUACCUAUAAGACUGGGAUAACUUCGGGAAACCGGAGCUAAUACCGGAUAAUAUAUUGAACCGCAUGGUUCAAUAGUGAAAGACGGUUUUGCUGUCACUUAUAGAUGGAUCCGCGCCGCAUUAGCUAGUUGGGAAGGUAACGGCUUACCAAGGCAACGAUGCGUAGCCGACCUGAGAGGGUGAUCGGCCACACUGGAACUGAGACACGGUCCAGACUCCUACGGGAGGCAGCAGUAGGGAAUCUUCCGCAAUGGGCGAAAGCCUGACGGAGCAACGCCGCGUGAGUGAUGAAGGUCUUCGGAUCGUAAAACUCUGUUAUUAGGGAAGAACAAAUGUGUAAGUAACUAUGCACGUCUUGACGGUACCUAAUCAGAAAGCCACGGCUAACUACGUG
This 497-nucleotide ribosomal RNA is filed under the name uncultured bacterium. Its description in RNAcentral is "partial 16S ribosomal RNA". It matches the Rfam family "Bacterial small subunit ribosomal RNA", at positions 28 to 507 of the family's 1533-position model. The record is from RNAcentral.